AGCGAACGCUGGCGGCGUGCCUAACACAUGCAAGUCGAACGUGAAAAGGGAAACCUGAGUAAAGUGGCGUACGGGUGAGUAACGCGUAGGUAAUCUACCCCAGAAUCUGGAAUAACCUGCCGAAAGGCGGGCUAAUACUGGAUAGAGCGAGGGAACUCGUAAGAGAGUUUUUCGGGAAAGGGAGCCCGCAAGGGCCUUCGUUCUGGGAUGAGCCUGCGUCUCAUUAGCUAGUUGGUAAGGUAACGGCUUACCAAGGCGAUGAUGAGUAGCUGGUCUGAGAGGAUGAUCAGCCACACUGGAACUGAAACACGGUCCAGACUCCCACGGGAGGCAGCAGUGGGGAAUCUUGCGCAAUGGACGAAAGUCUGACGCAGCCACGCCGCGUGAGUGAAGAAGGCCUUCGGGUUGUAAAGCUCUGUCGGAUGGGACGAACAUCUUCAUAGUGAAUAGCUAUGAGGACUGACGGUACCAUCAAAGGAAGCACCGGCUAACUCCGUG
RNAcentral lists this ribosomal RNA (498 nucleotides) under uncultured bacterium. Its description in RNAcentral is "partial 16S ribosomal RNA". It matches the Rfam family "Bacterial small subunit ribosomal RNA", at positions 29 to 507 of the family's 1533-position model. The record is from RNAcentral.